GACGAACCGUGCGAACGUUGUUCGGAAUCACUGGGCUUAAAGGGCGCGUAGGCGGGCCGUCAAGUCCGGGGUGAAAUCCUCCAGCCUAACUGGAGAAGCGCCUCGGAGACUGGCGGCCUCGAGGAGGGUAGGGGCAAGCGGAACUAUGGGUGGAGCGGUGAAAUGCAUUGAUAUCCAUAGGAACUCCGGUGGCGAAGGCGGCUUGCUGGACCCUUUCUGACGCUGAGGCGCGAAAGCCAGGGGAGCGAACGGG
This 253-nucleotide ribosomal RNA is filed under the name uncultured bacterium. RNAcentral's name for it is "partial 16S ribosomal RNA". It matches the Rfam family "Bacterial small subunit ribosomal RNA", at positions 524 to 776 of the family's 1533-position model. The record is from RNAcentral.